GAUGAACGCUGGCGGCGUGCCUAAUACAUGCAAGUCGAGCGAACGGACGAGAAGCUUGCUUCUCUGAUGUUAGCGGCGGACGGGUGAGUAACACGUGGACAACCUACCUAUAAGACUGGGAUAACUUCGGGAAACCGUAGCUAAUACCGGAUAAUAUUUUGAACCGCAUGGUUCAAAAGUGAAAGACGGUCUUGCCGCCACUUAUAGAUGGAUCCGCGCUGCAUUAGCUAGUUGGUAAGGUAACGGCUUACCAAGGCAACGAUGCAUAGCCGACCUGAGAGGGUGAUCGGCCACACUGGAACUGAGACACGGUCCAGACUCCUACGGGAGGCAGCAGUAGGGAGUCUUCCGCAAUGGGCGAAAGCCUGACGGAGCAACGCCGCGUGAGUGAUGAAGGUCUUCGGAUCGUAAAACUCUGUUAUUAGGGAAGAACAUAUGUGUAAGUAACUGUGCACAUCUUGACGGUACCUAAUCAGAAAGCCACGGCUAACUACGUGCCAGCAGCCGCGGUAAUACGUAGGUGGCAAGCGUUAUCCGGAAUUAUUGGGCGUAAAGCGCGCGUAGGCGGUUUUUUAAGUCUGAUGUGAAAGCCCACGGCUCAACCGUGGAGGGUCAUUGGAAACUGGAAAACUUGAGUGCAGAAGAGGAAAGUGGAAUUCCAUGUGUAGCGGUGAAAUGCGCAGAGAUAUGGAGGAACACCAGUGGCGAAGGGCGACUUUCUGGUCUGUAACUGACGCUGAUGUGCGAAAGCGUGGGGAUCAAACAGGAUUAGAUACCCUGGUAGUCCACGCCGUAAAACGAUGAGUGCUAAGUGUUAGGGGGUUUCCGCCCCUUAGUGCUGCAGCUAACGCAUUAAGCACUCCGCCUGGGGAGUACGACCGCAAGGUUGAAACUCAAAGGAAUUGACGGGGACCCGCACAAGCGGUGGAGCAUGUGGUUUAAUUCGAAGCAACGCGAAGAACCUUACCAAAUCUUGACAUCCUUUGACAACUCUAGAGAUAGAGCCUUCCCCUUCGGGGGACAAAGUGACAGGUGGUGCAUGGUUGUCGUCAGCUCGUGUCGUGAGAUGUUGGGUUAAGUCCCGCAACGAGCGCAACCCUUAAGCUUAGUUGCCGUCAUUAAGUUGGGCACUCUAAGUUGACUGCCGGUGACAAACCGGAGGAAGGUGGGGAUGACGUCAAAUCAUCAUGCCCCUUAUGAUUUGGGCUACACACGUGCUACAAUGGACAAUACAAAGGGCAGCGAAACCGCGAGGUCAAGCAAAUCCCAUAAAGUUGUUCUCAGUUCGGAUUGUAGUCUGCAACUCGACUACAUGAAGCUGGAAUCGCUAGUAAUCGUAGAUCAGCCAUGCUACGGUGAAUACGUUCCCGGGUCU
This 1375-nucleotide ribosomal RNA is filed under the name uncultured bacterium. RNAcentral describes it as "bacterial SSU rRNA". It matches the Rfam family "Bacterial small subunit ribosomal RNA", at positions 28 to 1381 of the family's 1533-position model. The record is from RNAcentral.